CGUGAGCAAUCUGCCUUGGAGUGGGGAAUAACGGUUGGGAAAACAGGCCGCUAAUACCGCAUGAUACAGCUAUCCCGCAUGGGGUUGGCUGUCAAAGAUUUAUCGCUCUGAGAUGAGCUCGCGUCUGAUUAGCUUGUUGGCGGGGUAACGGCCCACCAAGGCGACGAUCAGUAGCCGGACUGAGAGGUUGGCCGGCCACAUUGGGACUGAGACACGGCCCAGACGCCUACGGAAGGCAGCAG
This 242-nucleotide ribosomal RNA is filed under the name uncultured bacterium. Its description in RNAcentral is "partial 16S ribosomal RNA". It matches the Rfam family "Bacterial small subunit ribosomal RNA", at positions 116 to 354 of the family's 1533-position model. The record is from RNAcentral.